UUUCAUUUUCUUUAACCAAUAUAAAUGUUUCAAAACUUUAGCUCCGAAUAGUAACUGCGUUUUGCGCUAUGGGAGAAAUGCGGUGCGGUUCAAAUAGUAAUGAAAAUACAUAGAUACAUAUGUAUAUGUAGAAAUUUUGAUAGGGUUACAGCACUGUUGUGAUACGGUUUUGAGUGCGGUUUUAGUUACCUUUCACAGCCUUAAUUGGUUCAGGGAUCAACCGAUCGUCCGCGUUCGCGUCGUGGGUCAUGUGAUGGUUUAGCCAUUUCGAAUUCCAAAGCACUCACAUGUUUUAUCCCUUUUAUUUAUUACGGGAUAUGCUUUGCUACAUUUUCCUCACGACACAUUAA
This 350-nucleotide small RNA is filed under the name Arabidopsis thaliana (thale cress). RNAcentral describes it as "ATSL249950". Lineage: Eukaryota; Viridiplantae; Streptophyta; Magnoliopsida; Brassicales; Brassicaceae. The record is from RNAcentral.